AUUGAACGCUGGCGGCAGGCCUAACACAUGCAAGUCGAGCGGAUGACGGGAGCUUGCUCCUGGAUUCAGCGGCGGACGGGUGAGUAAUGCCUAGGAAUCUGCCUGGUAGUGGGGGACAACGUUUCGAAAGGAACGCUAAUACCGCAUACGUCCUACGGGAGAAAGCAGGGGACCUUCGGGCCUUGCGCUAUCAGAUGGGCCUAGGUCGGAUUAGCUAGUUGGUGAGGUAAUGGCUCACCAAGGCGACGAUCCGUAACUGGUCUGAGAGGAUGAUCAGUCACACUGGAACUGAGACACGGUCCAGACUCCUACGGGAGGCAGCAGUGGGGAAUAUUGGACAAUGGGCGAAAGCCUGAUCCAGCCAUGCCGCGUGUGUGAAGAAGGUCUUCGGAUUGUAAACCGCUUUUGUCAGGGAAGAAACGCUUCGGAAUAAUACUCUGAGGUAAUGACGGUACCUGAAGAAUAAGCACCGGCUAACUACGUGCCAGCAGCCGCCGUAA
This 500-nucleotide ribosomal RNA is filed under the name uncultured bacterium. Its description in RNAcentral is "partial 16S ribosomal RNA". It matches the Rfam family "Bacterial small subunit ribosomal RNA", at positions 30 to 523 of the family's 1533-position model. The record is from RNAcentral.